This 119-nucleotide ribosomal RNA is filed under the name Haliclona oculata. Lineage: Eukaryota; Metazoa; Porifera; Demospongiae; Haplosclerida; Chalinidae. The record is from RNAcentral.
GCCUGCGGCCAUACCACGUUGAAUGCACCGGUUCCCAUCUGAACACCGAAGUUAAGCAACGUCGGGCCAGCUUAGUACCUGGAUGGGUGACCGCCUGGGAAUCGCUGGUGCUGCAGGCU